GAUAAACGCUGGCGGCGUGCCUAAUACAUGCAAGUCGAGCGAACGGACGAGAAGCUUGCUUCUCUGAUGUUAGCGGCGGACGGGUGAGUAACACGUGGAUAACCUACCUAUAAGACUGGGAUAACUUCGGGAAACCGGAGCUAAUACCGGAUAAUAUUUUGAACCGCAUGGUUCAAAAGUGAAAGACGGUCUUGCUGUCACUUAUAGAUGGAUCCGCGCUGCAUUAGCUAGUUGGUAAGGUAACGGCUUACCAAGGCAACGAUGCAUAGCCGACCUGAGAGGGUGAUCGGCCACACUGGAACUGAGACACGGUCCAGACUCCUACGGGAGGCAGCAGUAGGGAAUCUUCCGCAAUGGGCGAAAGCCUGACGGAGCAACGCCGCGUGAGUGAUGAAGGUCUUCGGAUCGUAAAACUCUGUUAUUAGGGAAGAACAUAUGUGUAAGUAACUGUGCACAUCUUGACGGUACCUAAUCAGAAAGCCACGGCUAACUACGUGCCAGCAGCCGCGGUAAUACGUAGGUGGCAAGCGUUAUCCGGAAUUAUUGGGCGUAAAGCGCGCGUAGGCGGUUUUUUAAGUCUGAUGUGAAAGCCCACGGCUCAACCGUGGAGGGUCAUUGGAAACUGGAAAACUUGAGUGCAGAAGAGGAAAGUGGAAUUCCAUGUGUAGCGGUGAAAUGCGCAGAGAUAUGGAGGAACACCAGUGGCGAAGGCGACUUUCUGGUCUGUAACUGACGCUGAUGUGCGAAAGCGUGGGGAUCAAACAGGAUUAGAUACCCUGGUAGUCCACGCCGUAAACGAUGAGUGCUAAGUGUUAGGGGGUUUCCGCCCCUUAGUGCUGCAGCUAACGCAUUAAGCACUCCGCCUGGGGAGUACGACCGCAAGGUUGAAACUCAAAGGAAUUGACGGGGACCCGCACAAGCGGUGGAGCAUGUGGUUUAAUUCGAAGCAACGCGAAGAACCUUACCAAAUCUUGACAUCCUUUGACAACUCUAGAGAUAGAGCCUUCCCCUUCGGGGGACAAAGUGACAGGUGGUGCAUGGUUGUCGUCAGCUCGUGUCGUGAGAUGUUGGGUUAAGUCCCGCAACGAGCGCAACCCUUAAGCUUAGUUGCCAUCAUUAAGUUGGGCACUCUAAGUUGACUGCCGGUGACAAACCGGAGGAAGGUGGGGAUGACGUCAAAUCAUCAUGCCCCUUAUGAUUUGGGCUACACACGUGCUACAAUGGACAAUACAAAGGGCAGCGAAACCGCAAGGUCAAGCAAAUCCCAUAAAGUUGUUCUCAGUUCGGAUUGUAGUCUGCAACUCGACUACAUGAAGCUGGAAUCGCUAGUAAUCGUAGAUCAGCAUGCUACGGUGAAUACGUUCCCGGGUCU
RNAcentral lists this ribosomal RNA (1372 nucleotides) under uncultured bacterium. Its description in RNAcentral is "bacterial SSU rRNA". It matches the Rfam family "Bacterial small subunit ribosomal RNA", at positions 28 to 1381 of the family's 1533-position model. The record is from RNAcentral.